RNAcentral lists this ribosomal RNA (1320 nucleotides) under Austropurcellia vicina. Its description in RNAcentral is "SSU rRNA". It matches the Rfam family "Eukaryotic small subunit ribosomal RNA", at positions 24 to 1354 of the family's 1831-position model. Lineage: Eukaryota; Metazoa; Arthropoda; Arachnida; Opiliones; Pettalidae. The record is from RNAcentral.
UGAUAUGCUUGUCUCAAAGACUAAGCCAUGCAAGUCUAAGUACAUGCCGAAUUAAGGUGAAACCGCGAAUGGCUCAUUAAAUCAGUUAUGGUUCCUUAGAUCGUACUUUUCUACUUGGAUAACUGUGGCAAUUCUAGAGCUAAUACAUGCAGCAGAGCUCCGACCUUCGGGGACGAGCGCUUUUAUUAGACCAAGACCAAUCGGACUUCGGUCCGUAUACCACGGCGACUCUGGAUAACUUUGGGCUGAUCGCACGAUCUAGCAUCGGCGAUAUUUCUUUCAAGUGUCUGCCUUAUCAACUGUCGAUGGUAGGUUAUGCGCCUACCAUGGUCGUAACGGGUAACGGGGAAUCAGGGUUCGAUUCCGGAGAGGGAGCCUGAGAAACGGCUACCACAUCCAAGGAAGGCAGCAGGCGCGCAAAUUACCCACUCCCGGCACGGGGAGGUAGUGACGAAAAAUAACAAUACGGGACUCUCUUGAGGCCCCGUAAUUGGAAUGAGUACAAUCUAAAUCCUUUAACGAGGAUCUAUUGGAGGGCAAGUCUGGUGCCAGCAGCCGCGGUAAUUCCAGCUCCAAUAGCGUAUAUUAAAGUUGUUGCGGUUAAAAAGCUCGUAGUUGGAUCUCAGUUACAGACAGGCGGUCCACCUUACGGUGGCUACUGCCUGGCCUGAACGUCCUGCCGGUUUUCUCUCGGUGCUCUUCAUUGAGUGUCUUGAGUGGCCGGCACGUUUACUUUGAAAAAAUUAGAGUGCUCAAAGCAGGCGCGACGCCUGAAUAAUGGUGCAUGGAAUAAUGGAAUAGGACCUCGGUUCUAUUGUGUUGGUUUUCGGAACACGAGGUAAUGAUUAAGAGGGACAGACGGGGGCAUUCGUAUUGCGACGCUAGAGGUGAAAUUCUUGGACCGUCGCAAGACGAACUACUGCGAAAGCAUUUGCCAAGAAUGUUUUCAUUAAUCAAGAACGAAAGUUAGAGGUUCGAAGGCGAUCAGAUACCGCCCUAGUUCUAACCAUAAACGAUGUUGACCAGCGAUCCGCCUGAGUUUCUCAAUUGACUCGGCGGGCAGCUUCCGGGAAACCAAAGUUUUUGAAUUCCGGGGGAAGUAUGGUUGCAAAGUCGAAACUUAAAGGAAUUGACGRAAGSGCACCACCAGGAGUGGAGCCUGCGGCUUAAUUUGACUCAACACGGGAAAACUUACCCGGCCCGGACACCGGAAGGAUUGACAGAUUAAGAGCUCUUUCUUGAUUCGGUGGGUGGUGGUGCAUGGCCGUUCUUAGUUGGUGGAGCGAUUUGUCUGGUUAAUUCCGAUAACGAACGAGACUC